AUUGAACGCUGGCGGCAUGCCUUACACAUGCAAGUCGAACGGCAGCACGGGUGCUUGCACCUGGUGGCGAGUGGCGAACGGGUGAGUAAUACAUCGGAACAUGUCCUGUAGUGGGGGAUAGCCCGGCGAAAGCCGGAUUAAUACCGCAUACGAUCUACGGAUGAAAGCGGGGGACCUUCGGGCCUCGCGCUAUAGGGUUGGCCGAUGGCUGAUUAGCUAGUUGGUGGGGUAAAGGCCUACCAAGGCGACGAUCAGUAGCUGGUCUGAGAGGACGACCAGCCACACUGGGACUGAGACACGGCCCAGACUCCUACGGGAGGCAGCAGCGGGGAAUUUUGGACAAUGGGCGAAAGCCUGAUCCAGCAAUGCCGCGUGUGUGAAGAAGGCCUUCGGGUUGUAAAGCACUUUUGUCCGGAAAGAAAUCCUUGGCUCUAAUACAGUCGGGGGAUGACGGUACCGGAAGAAUAAGCACCGGCUAACUACGUG
RNAcentral lists this ribosomal RNA (486 nucleotides) under uncultured bacterium. Its description in RNAcentral is "partial 16S ribosomal RNA". It matches the Rfam family "Bacterial small subunit ribosomal RNA", at positions 30 to 507 of the family's 1533-position model. The record is from RNAcentral.